This 475-nucleotide ribosomal RNA is filed under the name uncultured bacterium. RNAcentral's name for it is "SSU rRNA". It matches the Rfam family "Bacterial small subunit ribosomal RNA", at positions 26 to 521 of the family's 1533-position model. The record is from RNAcentral.
AGGAUGAACGCUGGCGGCGUGCCUAACACAUGCAAGUCGAACGUCCUGUCUCGCAAGAGGCAGGGAGUGGCGGACGGGUGAGUACCACGUGGGUCAUCUACCGUGAGGUGAGGAAUACCGGCGAGAAAUCGCCGACAAGACCGCAUAGGCUCGAUGCAAGUCGAGCAAAGCUCUCUCGAGAGAGGGAGCGCCACACGAGGAGCCUGCGCCCGAUUAGCUAGCUGGUGGAGUAAUGGUUCACCAGGGCGACGAUCGGUAGCUGGUCUGAGAGGACGAUCAGCCACACUGGGAUUGAGAACGGCCCAGACUCCUACGGGGGCAGCAGUGAGGAAUUUCGUCAAUGGGGGCAACCCUGAACGAGCAACGCCGCGUGCAGGAAGAAGGUUUUCGGAUCGUAAACUGCUUUUCUCGGGGAAGAGAACGGACGGUACCCGAGGAAUCGAGCCCCGGCUAACUACGCGCCAGCAGCCGCGGU